RNAcentral lists this ribosomal RNA (251 nucleotides) under uncultured bacterium. RNAcentral's name for it is "partial 16S ribosomal RNA". It matches the Rfam family "Bacterial small subunit ribosomal RNA", at positions 60 to 339 of the family's 1533-position model. The record is from RNAcentral.
AGUCGAACGCUCACUUCGGUGAGAGUGGCAGACGGGUGAGUAACGCGUGGGAACGUACCUUUCAGUUCGGAAUAUUCUCGGGAAACUGGGAGCAAUACCGUAUACGCCCUUCGGGGGAAAGAUUUAUCGGAGAAGGAUCGGCCCGCGUUGGAUUAGGUAGUUGGUGGGGUAAUGGCCUACCAAGCCGACGAUCCAUAGCUGGUUUGAGAGGAUGAUCAGCCACACUGGGACUGAGACACGGCCCAGACUCC